UCUUUGAUAGCUAAAAUUUUUAUAGUGUGGUCUUGAAGCGGCCGAGGUGAAGAUAUCUUCUCAAAGAA
RNAcentral lists this transfer RNA (68 nucleotides) under Discocelis tigrina. Its description in RNAcentral is "tRNA-Phe". Lineage: Eukaryota; Metazoa; Platyhelminthes; Polycladida; Discocelidae. The record is from RNAcentral.